UACAGUUUUAGGCUUCAGGCUUCACAUAGGCUGGGCUCCGGACUUGAAAGAUCUCAGCUGCUGUCCCUAAUCACUGGGGAUCCUAGUAACCAUAAUGUUUUCCAUGGGAAACAGGGUUCGAACCAGAUAACCCAGAGCUUCCAGAACGACCAGAAUAUCCACCAUAACUGCUGCCACCACCCUGAUAACCACCAUACCGUCCAUAGCCUUCAGAG
This 215-nucleotide unclassified non-coding RNA is filed under the name Hevea brasiliensis (rubber tree). The record is from RNAcentral. Lineage: Eukaryota; Viridiplantae; Streptophyta; Magnoliopsida; Malpighiales; Euphorbiaceae.